RNAcentral lists this long non-coding RNA (4529 nucleotides) under Salmo salar (Atlantic salmon). RNAcentral's name for it is "lncRNA (ENSSSAG00000080083.2)". Lineage: Eukaryota; Metazoa; Chordata; Actinopteri; Salmoniformes; Salmonidae. The record is from RNAcentral.
CCAGUCCCCAUUCCCCAACACAUGUAGAAACCACCAGAAACGUGUGAAAUAGAUAAACACCUUUUUUUUCAUUUCCUGUUGUUUAUAUACAGUAUCUCGAAUCAGGAACUCUGUCAUAUCCCGUGUAAUAUGUCAAAACUAUUUGAUGGAUUUCUUAUCAUGGUGGAGUGGAUUACUGUUUGAUUUUGGGGUAGGCUGUCAACAGCGUGUACUGUGUGACACUAUCUGUUUUCUAAUGAUGUCAACAAUGCGUCUGGCAUAGAAUCAGGAACUAGAAUAGUAAUUUAAGAGGAUCUCUAUGGCGUAUAGACAUAUUUGAUGUCAUGAUUAUGAUGUCUUUAUGCCAUGGGUAAUGUCCAUAUUCACUUCAGUUCAUUGUGUCUGCGGAAGGUUCACAGACGGGUUUUCAACCGAGCUACAUUAUCAGAGACGCAAAGCGGGUGUCUUAACGGCUCACACAUCAUGGCUGACGACAACCAGAUACGGUUAAUUUAAGCCUACAUUUUUAAGUUUAAAAGAGAAAUCAAUAAGUCGAUUUUGAAUUUUCCUAAUUGCAUGUUGUUCAAACGGCAGUUCUUCCUUAAGGACAAAUGUGAUUGAUAUUAGGGCGGAAGUAUGAUUUGAAGUUUCAGCAAGUAAUUCCAACUGGGUAAUUGUUGUGGGAUGUCAGCAUGCAAUAAGCCUACUGCACGUGUAGAAUCAGUGCCAUGAAGGAUGGUGCAGGCCGGCAAGUUGCUACAGUAGCCUAGCAUGGAGUAGCAGAUGUGGAUCAGAUCUGGCUGACUUGUUCGCAGGCUAAAUUUCUCACCAGUCAUCCUCUGUAAUAAUUACCUCCCAGAGAGCAAUUACAAAGAACUAAUAAUGUUUUUAAAAGCACCAUUAUAACUAGCGACAUUACAGUCAGUCACCUCAGGCUGAGAAGGACUCGGUAGAACAGUGUUGGAUUUGUCCAUGUCUUGCUAAAUUAAUCUACCAUAACUGGGGAGACUUUAUACUGCAUUUUUAAAGCUGGAAUCCUUAAUGGUGAAACUACCACGUCCGAUAUUACAACAGCAGAGAAGUUACUGCAAACAACGAACACAGUUUUUUUCUGCUUUUCUGCUUCGUGCAUCAUUGCACGCAAGAUUAAACAUAAGUAUAUCCCACUGGACACGUACGUUAAUUCAACGUCUAUUUCACGUUGGUUCCAGAUAAUUCCCUUUAAAUGACUUGGAAACAACGUUGAUUCAACCAGUGUGUGACCAGUGGGAUGUAAGCCACCACUGCUUCGUCAACGAAAACAUUUCAGGGCCAUGCCGCUGUCUCAGGUGCUGCCCAGAUUCAAAACAUUUCAGGGCCAUGCCGCUGUCUCAGGUGCUGCCCAGAUUCGAAACAUUUCAGGGCCAUGCCGCUGUCCACUAACGCCUACAAACUCAGACAUUGACAGCUCAACAGUGCUGAAAUAGUUCGAGCCCCAGAGAACAUCAAUGAUUUUAAACUAGUUUAAGUGCAAGUGAUUAUAAUUUAUUGCACAUGUUAGUUUUGCUGAUUUGCAGCAUCAGAAUUAUCGCUAAUGGGUUGCAGCGAGUUACGUUUUUGAGCAUUUUUAAAAAUGUAUUUAUUUAUUUCACCUUUAUUUAACCAGGUAGGCAAGUUGAGAACAAGUUCUCAUUUACAACUGCGACCUGGCCAAGAUAAAGCAAAGCAGUUCGACACAUACAACAACACAGAGUUACACAUGGAGUAAAACAAACAUACAGUCAAUAAUACAGUUGAAGAAAAUAUAUAUACAGUGUGUGCAAAUGAGGUAAGAAAAGUGAGGUAAGGCAAUAAAUAGGCCAUGGUGGCGAAGUAAUUACAAUAUACCAAUUAGACACUAGAGUGAUUGACGUGCAGAUGGUGAUGAUGAUGCCUAAGAAGAGGAUGAGGAUGCUUGAUGAACCAUAAAUGACUCGCUAUGAUCUGUUUUCUGAUAUUGUCGACAAAGCGUUUAGACAUUAGACCAUAUAAAUAUAGCAAAUCCAUUGGAUUUAUGCUAUAGAUUUAGGCCUAAUUGUGACAUAAUGUGUAUACGGUAUUUUACGAAUCCCUCUGCUUAAGCCUAUCAGAAACGAGUAUUCAACAAUGUCUUGGUAAAAUUCAAGGAUAACGUCCAUGUCACUUCAGUUGCGUCUGUUGACGUUUCACCCAUGUGCUUUUAAAGGGACUAUCAGUAUUACCUCCAAAUAGCCUGCUACAAUAGGCUACACACCCAUGUCUGACGAUACCACGGUAUGGUUAAUUAUGCAUACUUUGAGUUUCGAGGAGAAAUCACUAUCAUUAUUUUAGGUCACUCACUACCAAAGCAAUACUGUAUGUCUCACUGGUUUGACCCAUGGACAGAAAGUUGACUACCACUGCCGUUUUGAGUAAAAUACCAGCAAAUAAGUUGUUUCAUAAAGUCACAAAAGAAGACUGAUAUUGCCCUCUCAUUUAUCCACCAGAGCAUGAAAUGGGAGUAUACCCCUGACUAUCAAAAGGAAGUUGGGGAGGAUAUGAAGGAUGAAACAGAGACUCAUGAGACCAAAUACAACAGGACAGGAAGCAAGGCUUAACGUAAGUCCAGUGGAGGUGGCAAGAAGAAUUCGGUGAAGGAGGACAGCAGCAUUUGUGCAGGGUCUUCUAAUGCACCCAGGUGUAGUUUCCAGGACAGGGAAUCUAACAUUGAGCAGCUGGAGAAGGAGCCUCAGAGGACUCUAAUGCCUUCUCUCAAUAUUGGGACAAGCUGUGCCCCAGUCCUCCUCCUUCCUGAGUAGUCUAACUAAUGAAACAAAAUGUCUCCUAUACUUAAUGGCUUAAUCAUUGGAUAGUGAUUCAGCAUGGCAUGAAGAAUAACCUGACGUUUGAGCAGCUCUCCAUGAUGUGUCUGAAGAUUGUUAAGGUCGUGACCCAGAUGGCCCUCCGCAUUCUGCUACCAGUGCUGGCUCGUAUCAUGGGGGUGAACCUGAGGAGUGGGACGACCUCCCCAGAAUCCCAGUGCUCUCUGACAGGGUCUAAGGACUCCUUGGACAGUCUGGAUGAGCGGGAGAAAAGGCUGCUGAUCAGUGAGAUGAACUACUGGACCAAGGAAAGGAGGAAUGGCAGGGCAGGGUGCCACGAAAAAUAUGUUGGCAGAACCAAACCACCAUGCUACUCCCCUAAGAGGGUCAUUGUUCCUUGUCCAGAUCUGGAAAAGGGUCCAAGGUCAAAGUGUGAGCUAGAGAUCAACCUCCCUGGUACUCCCAUCCCUGAUGAGGUGCCUGAUGAUUUGACCUUCCCCAUCGCCAGGAGCUCCUGCAUCGACAUCAGGGACUCUAUAAUGCAAGGGAUUUCUACGAGUGACCUAAGGACAAAGAUGAUGACACACACAGAUGAAGCCCUGCAUCGUAAUAGUCCAAGGACUGACAGUAACCGACAAUCGAGUGCCAAAGCCUCUCUUCGAUUCUUCACUCCCUCUUGCACCAGCAAGGGAACAUCCUUGGUAACAAAGGGAGUUGGGAUUGACAUGGAAGAGAAAGAGGGGUGCUACCCUAGCAGCUCUGGCCAUCUGAGGGAGUUAUUCAUCACUUCAGACAUCAGCAGUGCUACUGCAUUCCCUCUGCAGUCCUUGAUGGACUCCAGCAAAGAGGAUUUUAUCUGUUUGGUCACAAUACUGGUGAUAAGGUUGCUACCGAAGAUCGGUCCCUCAGCCCUAGAUGGACCUUCCCAACAGGCAGUAGACAUGACAGCAAUAUUUCAGCAGCUCAUCAGACAAGUUCUGUCUGAGUUCUGUGUUGCAUCUGGAUUCUCAAGGACACAGGCGCACCCUCAGGACCUGCACAUCCACACGGUGUUCAGAGGUGUACAUAAAAACCUCCUGGAUGCGUUUGGCUCUUAUAACGCCCUCCAAGCCACUCUGGCCUCCCAGGAUUCUGAAUUUGACAGAGUCCUGGUAAAAUCAUUGCCCAGCAGCUGGUGCAGGGAUCAAGGAGCCAUCAAGACCAGCAUCUACCGCCACAAACCCAGCAGACCAGGCUGAGACAGAGAGUGGGAAUGAGCAGAAAGCAAGAAGGAGCUUCCUUUGCUUCUCAAUGACCAAACUCAGGAUCAACAAUAAGCGUUCCAAGAGAGGAAACAAAAUGACUGCCAUUCAGUCCAGGACCAGACUGAGAUUCCCUCUACUGCAUAGCCCCCCACAUUGGGGAUCAUGGUGCUGAAUCUCCAGUUGGAGAGGUUUCUCGGUUCAUCUCUCAGCCUAUCAACAAGACCCUGAUUAUCGCUCCUUGAUAAUCAGGCUCUUUUCAGCAAUGAUGAAGCCGUUCGAGCGCUCCUCCUGAAAGAACCUGUUACUCUGUAUGAAGAAAUACUUUUGACAAGAGGGAUAUGCAUGUCUACCCUUUAAAGUCUGCUUGAUCAAAUAAAUGCAAACUAUUUUACAAGGGUUUUACAUGUUUUGGAUGAUUGCUAGCACUGAAGAAGCUUUUCUCACAUACUCUCUGGUCAGAUAGUGGAAGAGAACUGCGUUAGUUCCCCUGUGGUUACACAUCAUUUUG